Non-coding RNA from Gemmatimonas sp. SM23_52, 98 nucleotides. NCBI's taxonomy places the organism in Bacteria, Pseudomonadati, Gemmatimonadota, Gemmatimonadia, Gemmatimonadales, Gemmatimonadaceae. The record is from Rfam.
UCCGGUUGACAGGGGUGCUGGGGAGUUUCCCGGCUGAGAUCAUACCCUGAGAACCUGAUCCGGGUAAUGCCGGCGCAGGGAGUCAGCCAACCCCCCUC